This 429-nucleotide ribosomal RNA is filed under the name Bacteroidota bacterium. RNAcentral's name for it is "Bacteroidetes bacterium partial 16S ribosomal RNA". It matches the Rfam family "Bacterial small subunit ribosomal RNA", at positions 355 to 776 of the family's 1533-position model. Lineage: Bacteria; Pseudomonadati; Bacteroidota. The record is from RNAcentral.
UAGGGAAUCUUCGGCAAUGGGGGGAACCCUGACCGAGCAACGCCGCGUGAGUGAAGAAGGUUUUCGGAUCGUAAAGCUCUGUUGUUAAGGAAGAACGAGUGUGAGAAUGGAAAGUUCAUACUGUGACGGUACUUAACCAGAAAGGGACGGCUAACUACGUGCCAGCAGCCGCGGUAAUACGUAGGUCCCGAGCGUUGUCCGGAUUUAUUGGGCGUAAAGCGAGCGCAGGCGGUUAGAUAAGUCUGAAGUUAAAGGCAGUGGCUCAACCAUUGUAGGCUUUGGAAACUGUUUAACUUGAGUGCAGAAGGGGAGAGUGGAAUUCCAUGUGUAGCGGUGAAAUGUGUAGAUAUAUGGAGGAACACCGGUGGCGAAAGCGGCUCUCUGGUCUGUAACUGACGCUGAGGCUCGAAAGCGUGGGGAGCGAACAGG